Molecule: ribosomal RNA, 253 nt
Filed under: uncultured bacterium
Lineage: Bacteria
Description: partial 16S ribosomal RNA
Rfam family: Bacterial small subunit ribosomal RNA
Source: RNAcentral
UACGUGGGGGGCAAGCGUUGUCCGGAUUUAUUGGGCGUAAAGAGCGUGUAGGCGGCCUGAAAGGUCAGAUGUGAAAACUCGAGGCUCAACCUCGAGACGUCGGUUGAAACCAUCUGGCUAGAGUCCGGAAGAGGAGUGUGGAAUUCCUGGUGUAGCGGUGAAAUGCGCAGAUAUCGGGAGGAACACCGAUGGCGAAGGCAGGUCUCUGGGCAUUAACUGACGCUGAGGAGCGAAAGCAUGGGGAGCGAACAGG